This 429-nucleotide ribosomal RNA is filed under the name Pseudomonadota bacterium. RNAcentral's name for it is "Proteobacteria bacterium partial 16S ribosomal RNA". It matches the Rfam family "Bacterial small subunit ribosomal RNA", at positions 355 to 776 of the family's 1533-position model. Lineage: Bacteria; Pseudomonadati; Pseudomonadota. The record is from RNAcentral.
UGGGGAAUAUUUGACAAUGGGCGAAAGCCUGAUCCAGCCAUGCCGCGUGUGUGAAGAAGGUCUUCGGAUUGUAAAGCACUUUAAGUUGGGAGGAAGGGCAGUAAGCGAAUACCUUGCUGUUUUGACGUUACCGACAGAAUAAGCACCGGCUAAUUCUGUGCCAGCAGCCGCGGUAAUACAGAGGGUGCAAGCGUUAAUCGGAAUUACUGGGCGUAAAGCGCGCGUAGGUGGUUCGUUAAGUUGAAUGUGAAAGCCCCGGGCUCAACCUGUGAACUGCAUCCAAAACUGGCGAGCUAGAGUAGGGCAGAGGGUGGUGGAAUUUCCUGUGUAGCGGUGAAAUGCGUAGAUAUAGGAAGGAACACCAGUGGCGAAGGCGACCACCUGGGCUCAUACUGACACUGAGGUGCGAAAGCGUGGGGAGCAAACAGG